This 274-nucleotide ribosomal RNA is filed under the name uncultured bacterium. RNAcentral's name for it is "partial 16S ribosomal RNA". It matches the Rfam family "Bacterial small subunit ribosomal RNA", at positions 523 to 796 of the family's 1533-position model. The record is from RNAcentral.
AGACGGGGGGGGCGAGCGUUGUUCGGAAUUACUGGGCGUAAAGCGCACGUAGGUGGAUUCGUCGGUUGAGGGUGAAAUCCCAGGGCUCAACCCUGGAACUGCCUUCAAUACUGCGAAUCUUGAGUCCGAGAGAGGUGAGUGGAAUUCCUAGUGUAGAGGUGAAAUUCGUAGAUAUUAGGAAGAACACCAGUGGCGAAGGCGGCUCACUGGCUCGGUACUGACGCUGAGGUGCGAAAGCGUGGGGAGCAAACAGGAUUAGAAACCCCAGUAGUCC